This 411-nucleotide unclassified non-coding RNA is filed under the name Hevea brasiliensis (rubber tree). The record is from RNAcentral. Lineage: Eukaryota; Viridiplantae; Streptophyta; Magnoliopsida; Malpighiales; Euphorbiaceae.
GGGAUACAUAGGGCGGGCUGGGGAUUGAAGCCCAAAAUAAAACAGUGCAACAAUUAAAGCUCAAGGCUAAAGAUUCAAUCCAAAUCUAAAUCCUAGAAUUUUACAAAACUUCUAGACACUAAAUCAAAAAUCACUGCCGCAUGAUUGAAGUAGACAAGGGAAUCACCCACAAGUGAAAACCCACACCACCGGAACCAUACCCAUCGCAGAAACAAAGCCAGAUCACUCUACCCCAACCAAAACCAUACACAGAGAAAGCUCAAAUCCAAAGCUUUGGAAGAUAAGUGCUCUAAUAGUCAAAUGUUCAACUCCUUUGCCAUUGAAGAAGAUGAAGAGCUUAACUCUAAAAAUCGGGCACAUCAUCUGAGCCUUUCUAGAAGCCACAAAAAAAAUGAAGUAGUGUCGAUCACC